CUGAUCANCCUCCUUUCUAGAGACAANAAAAAAGGAUGUGAUUUAAAAUUAAAUUUAAAUUAAAAUCUUACUCUCGCUGUUNAUUCAAAAAAAAGAAAAGGCUUAAAAUACAGAGUCUCGUAGCUCAGCUGGUUAGAGUACUACACUGAUAAUGUAGGGGUCGGCAGUUCGAGUCUGCCCGGGACUACUAUUUAAAGUUAUAAAAAAGGAAAUUCUAGAAGCGAAUUUUGAAUUAUAAAUUUUAAAUGAUGAAUUUGAAAAAUAAUUCAAAAAAAUAAUUCAACAUUCAAAAUAGACAAUGGGGGAUUAGCUCAGCUGGCUAGASCSCCUGCCYUGGCACSCAGGAGGUCAUCGGUYCGACUCCGAUAUUCUCCACAACRGCCCCUCCUAACCUYCCCAAAGGGGAGGAACACAGAGCAAUCGGCUCUCCCCCUUCGGGGGAGCUGGAGGGGGGCUCAAAGUUCAUUGCACCAUAUUGAGCAUAACACAUCACAACACAAGUAGAAAGACACAGUCUUUAGUGCAUUAGUAAAAAAGCACAUAGGCACUAGUGGCUUCAUGGCUAUUGACUAAUGGCUAAAAGAAUAAAGAAAACAAUAAGCAAAAUAAGGGCGUAUGGGGGAUGCCUAGAA
This 632-nucleotide unclassified non-coding RNA is filed under the name Flavobacterium columnare. Its description in RNAcentral is "partial 16S-23S intergenic spacer". The stretch from base 114 to 187 matches the Rfam family "tRNA". Lineage: Bacteria; Pseudomonadati; Bacteroidota; Flavobacteriia; Flavobacteriales; Flavobacteriaceae. The record is from RNAcentral.